Molecule: long non-coding RNA, 455 nt
Filed under: Canis lupus dingo (dingo)
Lineage: Eukaryota; Metazoa; Chordata; Mammalia; Carnivora; Canidae
Description: lncRNA (ENSCAFG00020025265.1)
Source: RNAcentral
UUCCCUUGGUUCUCAGCCUUUGUCCUUCAUCUCCCAGAGAGAGGCCAUGGGACAAGAAUAAAUUUGUGAACCAGGCUGAAAACUAGGCCCCAGCGACGAGGCCUCGCCCGAGCGUCGGACAGGCUCACGCAGCCCCCGAGCACCCGGCGCUACCGGUCGGCCUCUUGGCCCCGCCCCUCGCCGCGCUGCCGACCAAUCCUGGGCUCCGCUCCCCGCGCGUCACAGAGGCGCCGCUGGGGGGCUUCCCGCAGGCGGGCGCUCGGCGCGGUGUUGCCAUGGGGACUGCAAACAGCCGGGGCCGGGCGGAGAGAGGAGGACUUUCCCUAGAGGAAGCGGCCUCACCUCGGGAGACGCGCACAGGUACCCAAGGAGCAGCCAUCCCUUUCUUCUUCGUCAAAGUAAUGACAUUCUUCGGGCGUCUUGAGCGAAGUGUGCAGAGCCAAGUCUCCCCUUGA